CCAUCUCUCCCUCUCAUCUCUCUGUCUCAUCCUGCCCUCAGUGCUCAGUGAAGUGCACAGUGUCUGCCAACACAACAGGUGUGAGGUGGUCCCACAAGGCCUGUGUUUCACACAGCCAGCCACUAACGCCUCCAGCCUCAAAUCCUGCUGUCAGACCCCCAAUAUAGACACACACACACGUACACCAAUCAGGGAUUCCUGUAACUCCAUAUAUCUGGUGGGAAGUGGACACACACAGCUAAAUGUGAACAGAAAUGCCCAAAUGAAGGUGUCAGGGCUGAGGUAUGCUAGCAAGCAAACAUGAACGAUCUGCUGGGGAUAAGAGACUCAGCGGGCCAGACCCAGGAUCUAAACCCAGACCCAGGAUCCAAAACCCAGACCCAGGAUCUAAACCCAGACCCAGGAUCUAAACCCAGACCCAGGAUCCAAAACCCAGACCCAGGAUCCAAAACCCAGACCCAGGAUCUAAACCCAGACCCAGGAUCCAAAACCCAGACCCAGGAUCCAAAACCCAGACCCAGGAUCUAAACCCAGACCAAGGAUCUAAACCCAGACCAAGGAUCUGAACCCAGACCAAGGACCUUCAACUCAGAACAAGGAUUUUAAACCCACAGCCAGGACCCUAAACAGACAUACAGGUCUUAAACCUAAACUUGACAUAGCAUCAAGAUGGUGACAGCUGUGCCUUGCUGUUUCUCAUUCCGGAUCAGACAGUCAACUGAGGCUAACAUGGAAGUGAGCCAAGCAUGGAGGACUGGAAGGAGAGAGGGAGGAAAACAGAGAAACAGAUACAGACAGAGACAGAGAGUGAGGAAGAAAACUAGAUGGAAGAAAGAUAGACAGGUUGAAAAAGUGAGAUGGAGAGAGAGAUAAAGAUAGGGGCGGUGAGAGCUAAGAGAAAGAAGUUGACCAUGGACAUUUAUUUAAAUGUAGUAAACUGCACAAUUAAAAAAGCUCCACACAAUCAC
Long non-coding RNA from Hypomesus transpacificus, 968 nucleotides. RefSeq lists it as uncharacterized. The record is from RefSeq and is a predicted model, not a curated record. Lineage: Eukaryota; Metazoa; Chordata; Actinopteri; Osmeriformes; Osmeridae. The transcript has 2 exons.